GCGAUGUAGGCGGUCGGGAUCGCGGCGGCCUGGCGCGCCGCGAGGCGCGUGACCGUCAGCGCGUUGAUCGCGGCGGCGUCGCCGCC
Molecule: transfer RNA, 86 nt
Filed under: Microbacterium sorbitolivorans
Lineage: Bacteria; Bacillati; Actinomycetota; Actinomycetes; Micrococcales; Microbacteriaceae
Description: tRNA-Ala
Source: RNAcentral